AUUGCCCUAGUAACGGCGAGUGAAGCGGCAACAGCUCAAAUUUGAAAUCUGGCGUAAGCCCGAGUUGUAAUUUGUAGAGGAUGCUUCUGGGUAGCGGCCGGUCUAAGUUCCUUGGAACAGGACGUCAUAGAGGGUGAGAAUCCCGUAUGUGACUGGCUUGCACCCUCCACGUAGCUCCUUCGACGAGUCGAGUUGUUUGGGAAUGCAGCUCUAAAUGGGAGGUAAAUUUCUUCUAAAGCUAAAUACCGGCCAGAGACCGAUAGCGCACAAGUAGAGUGAUCGAAAGAUGAAAAGCACUUUGGAAAGAGAGUUAAAAAGCACGUGAAAUUGUUGAAAGGGAAGCGCCCGCAACCAGACUUUGCGGCGGUGUUCGGCCGGUCUUCUGACCGGUUUACUCGCCGCCGUGAGGCCAUCAUCGUCUGGGACCGCUGGAUAAGACCUGAGGAAUGUAGCUCCCUUCGGGGUGUGUUAUAGCCUCUGGUGAUGCAGCGCGUCUCGGGCGAGGUCCGCGCUUCGGCAAGGAUGAUGGCGUAAUGGUUGUCGGCGGCCCGUCUUGAAACACGGACCAAGGAGUCUAACAUCUAUGCGAGUGUUCGGGUGUCAAACCCCUACGCGUAAUGAAAGUGAACGGAGGUGGGAACUUUUUGUGCACCAUCGACCGAUCCUGAUGUCCUCGGAUGGAUUUGAGUAAGAGCAUAGCUGUUGGGACCCGAAAGAUGGUGAACUAUGCCUGAAUAGGGUGAAGCCAGAGGAAACUCUGGUGGAGGCUCGCAGCGGUUCUGACGUGCAAAUCGAUCGUCAAAUUUGGGUAUAGGGGCGAAAGACUAAUCGAACCAUCUAGUAGCUG
This 847-nucleotide ribosomal RNA is filed under the name Pseudocercospora sp. Its description in RNAcentral is "partial large subunit ribosomal RNA". It matches the Rfam family "Eukaryotic large subunit ribosomal RNA", at positions 74 to 953 of the family's 3401-position model. Lineage: Eukaryota; Fungi; Ascomycota; Dothideomycetes; Mycosphaerellales; Mycosphaerellaceae. The record is from RNAcentral.